Molecule: ribosomal RNA, 500 nt
Filed under: uncultured bacterium
Lineage: Bacteria
Description: partial 16S ribosomal RNA
Rfam family: Bacterial small subunit ribosomal RNA
Source: RNAcentral
ACUCAAAUGAAUAGACGGGGACCCGCACAAGCGGUGGAGCAUGUGGUUUAAUUCGAGGCAACGCGAAGAACCUUACCAGGCCUUGACAUGGUUAGUUUGAUUUCCAGAGAUGGAUUUCUUCAGUUUGGCUGGCUAACACACAGGUGCUGCAUGGCUGUCGUCAGCUCGUGUCGUGAGAUGUUGGGUUAAGUCCCGCAACGAGCGCAACCCUCAUCUUUAGUUGCCAUCAUUAAGUUGGGCACUCUAAAGAAACUGCCAGCGUUAAGCUGGAGGAAGGUGGGGAUGACGUCAAGUCUUCAUGGCCCUUACGGCCUGGGCUACACACGUGCUACAAUGGCGGUGACAAAGGGCUGCUAACCCGCGAGGGUAUGCGAAUCCCAAAAAGCCGCCUCAGUUCAGAUUGAAGUCUGCAACUCGACUUCAUGAAGUCGGAAUCGCUAGUAAUCGUAGAUCAGCAUGCUACGGUGAAUACGUUCCCGGGUCUUGUACACACCGCCCGU